RNAcentral lists this ribosomal RNA (253 nucleotides) under uncultured bacterium. RNAcentral describes it as "partial 16S ribosomal RNA". It matches the Rfam family "Bacterial small subunit ribosomal RNA", at positions 524 to 776 of the family's 1533-position model. The record is from RNAcentral.
UACGAAGGGGCCUAGCGGUGUUCGGAAUUACUGGGCGUAAAGCGCAUGUAGGCGGAUCUAUAAGUCAGAGGUGAAAUCCCCGGGCUCAACCCUGGAAUUGCCUUUGAUACUGUAGAUCUGGAGUCUGGGAGAGGUGAGUGGAAUGCCGAGUGUAGAGGUGAAAUUCGUAGAUAUUCGGAGGAACACCAGUGGCGAAGGCGGCUCACUGGCCCCAGACUGACGCUGAGAUGCGAAAGCGUGGGGAGCAAACAGG